This 1762-nucleotide long non-coding RNA is filed under the name Homo sapiens (human). RNAcentral describes it as "HSALNT0134309". Lineage: Eukaryota; Metazoa; Chordata; Mammalia; Primates; Hominidae. The record is from RNAcentral.
UCAAAUUAGCUUGGCCGACUGCUGCCAUGGAAACCUGAAGUGCUCCCACCUCCCAGGGGAUGUAUAAUGGAUGGUGAAUGUCAGAAGCCUGCAUCCUGUGUUACUUAUCUGACAUUGUGGUGGACUGUUGAUGACAACUGAUGUCCUCUACUAAUCAUCACCAUUGUCUUGGAAAACUGAUAUGAAAAAAGUCAAAUAAUUUGCCAAAAGAGACAACUGAUUAACUAGUAUAGUCACAAUUCUAAGCCAGGAAGUCUAACUCCAAAGAGUAUGCUUUUAAUCAUUAUUAUGCUACUGAUAUUAAUACAACUUUGACAGGAAGAAUGCACAGCCCUCACCCCCAAAAUUCAGAACUGUGUAAAUAUCUCACUCCCAUUCUCGUCUUCCAUCUACCAUCCACCAUACUUCCCAACCACAGUAUAAUGGUGCGUGAGUUAACAUAUCAGGUAGGAAGCGCAAAGCUAGGCAGCUGUCACCUCCCAAUUCAGCCAGAGCAUGGCUGAGAUGUUUUUGUCCAAGGAAGAACUGUAUUUGGGGAUGGACUAAAACUUAAACACUCUUUGAAGCCCUCAUUGGCCACUUCCUAGCAGACACUUUGGGAUCCUUGAAUCUUUCCCUUGUGUUAUAGUGACCUCAAUUUCUGGAUGAUCCCUUCUUAAUAGAAUAGACCUCUACUUGGGUGGUGCUUUAAUUCAGCUUAGUGUGUUUGGGCAAGCUGUCUGUUGCUGUCUCUGCCAUCACUGUGCAUAAAAGGGAAGACGGUGGGUCAGGGGAUGGCAGCGGCCAAUCAAGAGAUAACAGCCCUCUGCUAAAGCUUCCUUCCUUGCUUUAAUCAAAUGAAGAAUGCACCAGAUGAGGGUCACUUGGAACACAUAGGGAAAGGUAGAAUGCCUACAAAGAAUCUUCCAGACCCCAUACUACUGCAUUUCCAUGAAAUGCACAAGGUCCAUGGGAAGGAUUAUUUUACAAAUGAGGAGGCUAGGGAUUAAGAGGUCCUCAAACACACAGCCAAGAAAUGGCAAAACAGGAAUCACAGGCCUCAGACCAAAGCCACCAUCCGAACAGUAACUCAUUCCAGUUUUAAAAGUGACAGCAUCACAACUGGCCACUGGAUGACCUCAGAGUUCAAUCCUGCUAAAAGUAGCUUUGGAUUGAGACCAUCCUGGCCAACAAAGUGAAAUCCCGUCUCUACUAAAAUACAAAAAAUUAGCCAGGCAUGGUGGCAUGCACCUGUAGUCCCAGCUGCUCGGGAGGCUGAGGCAGGGGAAUCCCUUGAAUCCAGGAGGCAGAGGUUGCAGUGAGCUGAGACUGCACCACUGCACUCCAGCCUGGCGACAGGGCCAGACUUUGUCUCAAAAAAAAAAAAAAAGUAGCUUUGAUGUUGAAAGGGGCUGGGUAGUAGAGAUCAGUUAGUGGGCCCUCCCCAAUCCUAGCCAAAAGGAGCACAGUAUCCAUUUCAUUUUCACAUCUUCAGGUUCUUCAAAGUCAUGCCUAAAGUGGGGAAAGAAUUAAAAGAUCUACUGUCAUUCUAACAGGAUUCAAAGAGAGGAACCACUGGAUGGAAAAAUGUGAAUUAUUUUAGACAAAGCCUUUAGCAUUUAAAAUACUCCUCAUCCCAUAAUUAAUCUAUUCCUUUCUCUCACGUUAUCAGCAUCAGUGCCUUGAUAUCAAAGUGUAUGUCAAUAAGUCACAGAAGGGAAGAUAAUAGUUGGAGUGACCUUCUGAGCUUCUAGGUUGUUCUACCCUCUCCCUUAAAGUCCUG